RNAcentral lists this ribosomal RNA (484 nucleotides) under uncultured bacterium. Its description in RNAcentral is "bacterial SSU rRNA". It matches the Rfam family "Bacterial small subunit ribosomal RNA", at positions 30 to 507 of the family's 1533-position model. The record is from RNAcentral.
AUUGAACGCUGGCGGCAUGCCCUACACAUGCAAGUCGAACGGCAGCACGGGAGCAAUCCUGGUGGCGAGUGGCGAACGGGUGAGUAAUAUAUCGGAACGUGCCCAGUCGUGGGGGAUAACGUAGCGAAAGCUACGCUAAUACCGCAUACGAUCUAUGGAUGAAAGCGGGGGAUCGCAAGACCUCGCGCGAUUGGAGCGGCCGAUAUCAGAUUAGGUAGUUGGUGAGGUAAAGGCUCACCAAGCCAACGAUCUGUAGCUGGUCUGAGAGGACGACCAGCCACACUGGAACUGAGACACGGUCCAGACUCCUACGGGAGGCAGCAGUGGGGAAUUUUGGACAAUGGACGCAAGUCUGAUCCAGCCAUUCCGCGUGCAGGAUGAAGGCCCUCGGGUUGUAAACUGCUUUUGUACGGAACGAAAAGGUUUCUAUUAAUACUAGGAGCUCAUGACGGUACCGUAAGAAUAAGCACCGGCUAACUACGUG